This 87-nucleotide small RNA is filed under the name unclassified sequences. RNAcentral describes it as "GA-cis RNA". It matches the Rfam family "GA-cis RNA". The record is from Rfam by way of RNAcentral.
AAGAGGAAGCGCCCAUGCAUCGGAGAUGCAUAUCGGAAUGGCGCUGACGAACUGCCGCCGAAUGUAAAUGAGGGGGCGUUACAACGA